RNAcentral lists this unclassified non-coding RNA (378 nucleotides) under plant metagenome. RNAcentral describes it as "partial contains 5.8S ribosomal RNA, internal transcribed spacer 2, and large subunit ribosomal RNA". The stretch from base 1 to 105 matches the Rfam family "5.8S ribosomal RNA", at positions 50 to 154 of the family's 154-position model. The record is from RNAcentral.
GAAAUGCGAUAAGUAAUGUGAAUUGCAGAAUUCAGUGAAUCAUCGAAUCUUUGAACACACCUUGCGCUCCUUGGUAUUCCUUGGAGCAUGCCUGUUUGAGUAUCAUGAAAUCUUCAAAGUAAAUCUUUUGUUAACUCAAUUGGUUUCUACUUUGGUAUUGGAGGUCUUUGCAGCUUCACACCUGCUCCUCUUUGUUCAUUAGCUGGAUCUCAGUGUUAUGCUUGGUUCCACUCGGCGUGAUAAGUUAUCUAUCGCUGAGGACACUGUAAAAGGUGGCCAAGGUAAAUGCAGAUGAACCGCUUCUAGUAGUCCAUUGACUUGGACAAUACUUUUAUGAUCUGAUCUCAAAUCAGGUAGGACUACCCGCUGAACUUAAGC